GGAGUACGGCCGCAAGGUUAAAACUCAAAUGAAUUGACGGGGGCCCGCACAAGCGGUGGAGCAUGUGGUUUAAUUCGAUGCAACGCGAAGAACCUUACCUACUCUUGACAUCCAGAGAACUUAGCAGAGAUGCUUUGGUGCCUUCGGGAACUCUGAGACAGGUGCUGCAUGGCUGUCGUCAGCUCGUGUUGUGAAAUGUUGGGUUAAGUCCCGCAACGAGCGCAACCCUUAUCCUUUGUUGCCAGCGAUUCGGUCGGGAACUCAAAGGAGACUGCCGGUGAUAAACCGGAGGAAGGUGGGGAUGACGUCAAGUCAUCAUGGCCCUUACGAGUAGGGCUACACACGUGCUACAAUGGCGUAUACAAAGAGAAGCGACCUCGCGAGAGCAAGCGGAACUCAUAAAGUACGACGUAGUCCGGAUUGGAGUCUGCAACUCGACUCCAUGAAGUCGGAAUCGCUAGUAAUCGUAGAUCAGAAUGCUACGGUGAAUACGUUCCCGGGCCUUGUACACACCGCCCGUCACACCAUGGGAGUGGGUUGCAAAAGAAGUAGGUAGCUUAACCUUCGGGAGGGCGCUUACCACUUUGUGAUUCAUGACUGGGGUGA
This 606-nucleotide ribosomal RNA is filed under the name uncultured bacterium. RNAcentral's name for it is "bacterial SSU rRNA". It matches the Rfam family "Bacterial small subunit ribosomal RNA", at positions 877 to 1483 of the family's 1533-position model. The record is from RNAcentral.